AUUGAACGCUGGCGGCAUGCCUUACACAUGCAAGUCGAACGGUAACGGGCCUUCGGGUGCCGACGAGUGGCGAACGGGUGAGUAAUACAUCGGAACGUGCCCGAUCGUGGGGGAUAACGAGGCGAAAGCUUUGCUAAUACCGCAUACGAUCUACGGAUGAAAGCAGGGGACCGCAAGGCCUUGCGCGGACGGAGCGGCCGAUGGCAGAUUAGGUAGUUGGUGGGAUAAAAGCUUACCAAGCCGACGAUCUGUAGCUGGUCUGAGAGGAUGAUCAGCCACACUGAGACUGAGACACGGCCCAGACUCCUACGGGAGGCAGCAGUGGGGAAUUUUGGACAAUGGGCGCAAGCCUGAUCCAGCCAUGCCGCGUGCAGGAUGAAGGCCUUCGGGUUGUAAACUGCUUUUGUACGGAACGAAAAGCCUUCUUUUAAUACAGGAGGGUCAUGACGGUACCGUAAGAAUAAGCACCGGCUAACUACGUG
RNAcentral lists this ribosomal RNA (482 nucleotides) under uncultured bacterium. Its description in RNAcentral is "partial 16S ribosomal RNA". It matches the Rfam family "Bacterial small subunit ribosomal RNA", at positions 30 to 507 of the family's 1533-position model. The record is from RNAcentral.